UGGUAUAUAGCAUAAUGGUUAGUGCACAUUAUUACGGAUGAUGUUAUGUAAGUUCGAUUCUUACUAUGCCAU
Non-coding RNA from Debaryomyces hansenii, 72 nucleotides. NCBI's taxonomy places the organism in Eukaryota, Fungi, Ascomycota, Pichiomycetes, Serinales, Debaryomycetaceae. The record is from Rfam.